Molecule: ribosomal RNA, 691 nt
Filed under: uncultured bacterium
Lineage: Bacteria
Description: bacterial SSU rRNA
Rfam family: Bacterial small subunit ribosomal RNA
Source: RNAcentral
UAGUGAUUAGAGUUUGAUCAUGGCUCAGAUUGAACGCUGGCGGCAUGCCUUACACAUGCAAGUCGAACGGUAACAGGUCUUCGGAUGCUGACGAGUGGCGAACGGGUGAGUAAUACAUCGGAACGUGCCCGAUCGUGGGGGAUAACGGAGCGAAAGCUUUGCUAAUACCGCAUACGAUCUACGGAUGAAAGCAGGGGACCGCAAGGCCUUGCGCGGACGGAGCGGCCGAUGGCAGAUUAGGUAGUUGGUGGGAUAAAAGCUUACCAAGCCGACGAUCUGUAGCUGGUCUGAGAGGACGACCAGCCACACUGGGACUGAGACACGGCCCAGACUCCUACGGGAGGCAGCAGUGGGGAAUUUUGGACAAUGGGCGAAAGCCUGAUCCAGCCAUGCCGCGUGCAGGAUGAAGGCCUUCGGGUUGUAAACUGCUUUUGUACGGAACGAAAAGACUCCUUCUAAUAAAGGGGGUCCAUGACGGUACCGUAAGAAUAAGCACCGGCUAACUACGUGCCAGCAGCCGCGGUAAUACGUAGGGUGCAAGCGUUAAUCGGAAUUACUGGGCGUAAAGCGUGCGCAGGCGGUUAUAUAAGACAGAUGUGAAAUCCCCGGGCUCAACCUGGGAACUGCAUUUGUGACUGUAUAGCUAGAGUACGGUAGAGGGGGAUGGAAUUCCGCGUGUAGCAGUGAAAUG